AGGUAGCAUAAUCGUUAGUUUUUUAAUUGAAAUCUUGUAUGAAUGGUUGGACAAAAGAAAGACUGUCUCUAUGAUUUUUAUUGAAUUUAACUUUUAAGUGAAAAGGCUUAAAUUAUUUAAAAAGACGAUAAGACCCUAUAAAGCUUUAUAAUUAAUUAUAUUUAAUUAAAUUAAAAAUAAUUGUUUUAUAUAAAAAAUUAUUUUGUUGGGGAGAUAGUAUUAUAAUUUGAAAUAACUGAAUAUAAAUAAUACAAUUAUUGGUGUGUAAAAAAUAGUAGAUCCUAUAUAUGGAUUAAAAGUUUAAGUUACUUUAGGGAUAACAGCGUUAUUUUUCUUGAGAGCUCAUAUCGAAAGAAAAGAUUGCGACCUCGAUGUUGAAUUAAAAUUUCUAAAUAA
RNAcentral lists this ribosomal RNA (396 nucleotides) under Arcotheres rayi. Its description in RNAcentral is "partial large subunit ribosomal RNA". The record is from RNAcentral. Lineage: Eukaryota; Metazoa; Arthropoda; Malacostraca; Decapoda; Pinnotheridae.